This 433-nucleotide ribosomal RNA is filed under the name uncultured bacterium. RNAcentral's name for it is "partial 16S ribosomal RNA". It matches the Rfam family "Bacterial small subunit ribosomal RNA", at positions 29 to 507 of the family's 1533-position model. The record is from RNAcentral.
AACGAACGCUGGCGGCAUGCCUAACACAUGCAAGUCGAACGAGACCUUCGGGUCUAGUGGCGCACGGGUGCGUAACGCGUGGGAACCUGCCCUUAGGUUCGGAAUAACUCCCCGAAAGGGGUGCUAAUACCGGAUAAUGUCUUCGGACCAAAGAUUUAUCGCCUUUGGAUGGGCCCGCGUUGGAUUCGCUAGUUGGUAGGGUAAAAGCCUACCAAGGCGACGAUCCAUAGCUGGUCUGAGAGGAUGAUCAGCCACACUGGGACUGAGAAACGGCCCAGACUCCUACGGGAGGCAGCAGUGGGGAAUAUUGGACAAUGGGCGAAAGCCUGAUCCAGCAAUGCCGCGUGAGUGAUGAAGGCCUUAGGGUUGUAAAGCUCUUUUACCCGGGAUGAUAAUGACAGUACCGGGAGAAUAAGCUCCGGCUAACUCCGUG